CCAAGGCGGGGGACUGGGGGGGACGGGGGUUUCCGCGUGCGCUCAUUUGUGAGAGAGUGUGGGAGUGUGUGUGUGUGUGUGUGUGUGAGAGGGCGUGGAUGGUGAGAGGGGCUGCGAGUGUGUGAGACUGUGCGUGUGAGACUGUAUGUGAGAGACUGAGCGAGAGUGUGAGAGACUGUGUGUGAGAGACCGUGUGUGUGAGAGGCUGUGUGUGAGAGACCGUGUGUGAGAGACCGUGUGUGUGAGAGACCGUGUGUGUGAGAGGCUGUGUGUGAGAGACCGUGUGUGUGAGAGACCGUGAGUGUGAGGCUGUGUGGGAGAGGCUGUGUGUGGGAGAGAGUGGGCUGGCGAGGGAGAGGAGAGCGUGUGUGUGGGGCGUGAGAAGCGCGCGCACACGGUCGCGCUCUCGCGGGUCCGCGGCCGCCUGGCCCCGGGGCUGUGCGGCGGGCGCCUGUCCCGAGCCUCCGGCCGGCCUGUGCGCGUCACCGCCCCUGUCCCGGGCCCCGCGGAGGCUCCGCGCGUGCUGCCUGGCGGGGUUGGUUGGUGCAGCCUUGGGAGCGUCCGGUGGGGUGUCUGCCUUUGUGUGUGUUUCAAUAACUGGGCAACUGCUUUGGAGGAAUUUGCAGAUUACCAAGAAAGAAGUCACUGAUCCUUCACAUAAGAAUGAAAGGAAGAAGUCAAUGAAGAGAUGUGUGGUGAGCCAUGUUGUGAAAGGUGUGGAUAUGCUUCUACCUUUGGCUGCACGAAUACUAUAAACUUGACACGAGAAAAACUUUUGAAGAGAAUUGGCUUCCUAGGCCUGCCCAGGAAUGGGGGAAGCAUGCUCUGCUCCUUGGUGAUUUCCUGGUUCUGUGUCCUCUUCCACUCCUAGGUGUGAUUUCCUGCUCCUCCAGAGAAGAACAAUAAGAGUACUCCCUGGAAUCCUGCACCUACUGCGACCUGCCCAAAUCUGGGGAUCAGACGUGUGGAUGGGAACCGGAGGACUGUCACAAAGGUCAUUUUGUAGCCUUGUUCCUCAGGUGUCUGGAAGAGAAGGAGCUGGUAGACAGCCUAUUAUUUCCCUCCUUCUCCACCUCUCAUGGGGUGAAUCGGCAGGUACAAGCUCUUUGAGAAAAAUAGCGGGUAGAAGGGACUACGCGUUCACCACCGUCUCUCUGGGACCUUGCUCUGGACUGAAAUCCCCUGAGAACUGCACCUGAGUAGAAGGCUGUACUCCUUCAAGCUUUUUCUCUGAAUCAUUAAUGAAGGAGGUUCUGGGAAGUCUUCGCCUACACAGCAGGGAAUUCCUGAGGAACACUUUUCAGAGACGAAUCGACUCACUGCGGUUGCACCUUAUCCAUUGACCAGUGAAUCAGAUAUUCUAGCCUUUGAGGUUGACCCAGACUCUCACCAAACCCCAUUCUCUACAUUUAUGGAGAGUCACAUUCCUCUGCUUUUGGCCAAAUUCUCUGGAAGAGGACAUCUGUAAUCAUUCCUCUGCAGGGCACUGACAGUGAUGUGCUACACUCUGUCCCAAAUCAAUUACUCUUUGCAAAUGCAGUUGUACUGAAAGAAUUCAAGGCAGUUUGAUAAGGAGUCUCUCACAAAACGUGGUAUUAGUGGGGCAGAAUGAGAAAUGAUAAAAGAGUCUUUGGAAACCUCAGUAUUUGAGUUGGCACAGUGCCUGGAACAAAGGUGUAUCUUCAGGGGAAUCUGAAUUUUUCAUACGGUCAAGUGGAAGCGUGUGGGCAGAUGGAGGCCAGUGCUUCUGUACGAUGAGGUCUUCUGGGAUGUACUCAUGUUUUUUUCUGUGAGUUUUUCCCCUGGAAAGAGUUGCUUGCAUCUCUCACUUUCCUGUAAGACUCUCAUAGUUUUUGUAAAAUUGUGUCUGCCCACUCUCCAGCCAAAUGGGGGAUCUGCUUGUGAUACAUGCCGUCGUCUCCACUCUUCCUAUACUUGAG
This 1940-nucleotide long non-coding RNA is filed under the name Equus asinus (donkey). RNAcentral's name for it is "lncRNA (ENSEASG00005034107.1)". Lineage: Eukaryota; Metazoa; Chordata; Mammalia; Perissodactyla; Equidae. The record is from RNAcentral.